Long non-coding RNA from Colius striatus (speckled mousebird), 1982 nucleotides. RefSeq lists it as uncharacterized. NCBI's taxonomy places the organism in Eukaryota, Metazoa, Chordata, Aves, Coliiformes, Coliidae. The record is from RefSeq and is a predicted model, not a curated record. The transcript is spliced from 2 exons.
GUUGCGUCUCCGUCUCUCAAUCGCGGCAAAUGGUGACCCCUACGUGAUUCUUGGUGAAGAGUCCGUCGGAGACAGAUAAUCACCUAUCUGGUGGCGUGCUGCGAGUCCCGCAGAACUGAAGGAGCUGCUGAAACGAAGCAGGAAAAGCCGGCUAAUCGCCCCCGUCUGGAACGAGAGAAAGAGGUCCUCGUUGGAUUCCAGCAAAAAGGGUGAGACCCUUUAGAGAGACAUUACAGCAGCGGUCAGCGGAAGACACCUUGGAAUCGGUGAGCGAAGAUGAGAACACCGCUCCUGAAUGACAUCAAUUUUGAAAAUCAAUAAGCAGGAACUUUAGUAUCCCCAUUGAAGACUGUGUAACUGUUGGAUCUUUAGUUAAAGACAUGGGCAAAGGAAUAGUUGCAAUUAUUAUGAGCAUGGCCGUGAGCAUAACGGCAAGAUUUGAUUUGCACCAUGUCGACCCUCGUGCUAAUGUAUGGCUCACAUGGGCCAAUCGCACCGGGACUACAGACUUUUGUCUGUCCCUGGCACAAGUUGGUGAUCCGUUUAGAACAUGUUUAAUUGGUUAUCCAUAUGUAAACCUGGAUGAUUUUUUAGGUUAUGUGAAUAACUCUGAUUUGUCGAAUAACCUUAAUAGCACAUAUUGGCAAUGGCGAACAGAUAAUAGUCGAGGAGAGUGUAUAAAGAGUAGCUACUGGCCCGUAGAACAAGGAGCUAUGUUUCAGCAAGGAUUAAUCCAGAUGCUCAAUAUCUCCAACCCAUUACCAUUUCAAGAGCUAGAGCUCUGGGGCUCCUUCCCUCCACAAGGGGAAUGGCAGAAUAUUUCAAAUCGCGCGAACUGUUCCGGGAUGAGCCCCACAAUUUUACCUGUUAAUGGGACUGGAGUAGUUUAUUUUGGUGAUGGAUGGAAAAGGUUUUUAGCCCAAAAUGGUGAUAAAAAAACAUUAAACUUAUUAAUGUAUUAUCAGAACGUAACAGGCCGCAGGUAAUUGGAGGAACAUGAAAAAAUUAGCAUGUUGGGCGGUUAAAGAGUUUAAUACAACCUCUGACAUCUUGUCAGGACUAGCCCAAGAUGUAGAUAGCUUGCGACAUGCCGUAUUACAAAAUCGUGCCGCUAUAGAUUUUCUUUUGUUAGCCCAUGGACAUGGAUGUCAGGAAUUUGAAGGGAUGUGUUGUAUGAAUCUGUCCGAUCAUUCUGUGAGUAUUCAUAAGCAAAUUGCAGAGCUGCGAGAAAGGAUUCACAAUGUACAAGAAGGAGUGGAUGGAUUUGAUGGAUGGUUGGCAUCUUGGGGAAUUACGGGUUGGCUGAAAGACUUACUUAAACAAGGAGUUUUGAUUCUUUUAGUAGUUUGUAUAUUAUUGGUAAUGAUUCCAUGUAUUUUGCAGUGUUUACAAAAAUCUUUAGCUGCCUCUGUCAAUAAGAUUCUUUUUGUACAACAGCAAGACCUGACGAAAGCUCCCAUUACAGAAGAGCUAGUGAAACGAAAUGUCCUUGAACUAGUCGGACGCAAACCUUGGGAAGCAGACGAUGCUUAAAAACAAAAAGGGGGAGAUGUGGGCUAUGUGGAGAUAAAAGUUAUUUGAGCUUGUGGAAUAUUAGUGAUUGUAUAUAUUGUAAGACAUAAAGUUAGCUUUGGCCUUUGGGCUUGUUGUGUCAGUAUGAAGAAGUAUUGAGGACAGUGGAAAAUUACAACAUGCAGAAGUUGAUACAGAAGAACAGGAACUUGUGGUUACAGAUAAGAACAUUCUGUUUAGCAAUAGGAUCUUAGGACCCUGUUAAGCAAACUUUGAAACUUAUCUAGUCUUGCAACAUAAUAAUCUCUUGGCAGGGUCGUAUGUUUUUUAUUAGCCUAUCAGGAGCUCAGCUUCUGAGAUGUGUAUGAGAUGAUUGGUUGAUUGUACCAAUCAGCGUGUGACACGCUGGCUUUGGGAGUAUAUAAAUAUGCUGUUUGUGAAUAAUAAAACAGACACCUUGCUUGCAUCAA